AGAAACAAAAAGUAGCUUAAAAAAAGCACCCGACUUACACUCGUGCGAUAUUAAAUUAAUCUUUUUGA
RNAcentral lists this transfer RNA (68 nucleotides) under Crotalus molossus (blacktail rattlesnake). RNAcentral describes it as "tRNA-Val". It matches the Rfam family "tRNA". From Rfam's summary of the family: Transfer RNA (tRNA) molecules are approximately 80 nucleotides in length. Their secondary structure includes four short double-helical elements and three loops (D, anti-codon, and T loops). Lineage: Eukaryota; Metazoa; Chordata; Lepidosauria; Squamata; Viperidae. The record is from RNAcentral.